RNAcentral lists this ribozyme (117 nucleotides) under Aedes aegypti (yellow fever mosquito). RNAcentral describes it as "drz-agam-1 ribozyme". It matches the Rfam family "drz-agam-1 ribozyme". The record is from Rfam by way of RNAcentral. Lineage: Eukaryota; Metazoa; Arthropoda; Insecta; Diptera; Culicidae.
UGCCCAGCGACUCCUAUCCCUACCUCCUCGUGGUCCUGGCCGGGGUACGAGUAACCUUGGGGAAGAUCGGGUAACCAACCCCCGGUGGGAACUUUGGUCGUAUGCUGACAGGGAAGG